CAUUCACGGAGAGUUUGAUCCUGGCUCAGGACGAACGCUGGCGGCGUGCUUAACACAUGCAAGUCGAACGAUGAACCGCUUUCGGGCGGGGAUUAGUGGCGAACGGGUGAGUAACACGUGGGCAAUCUGCCCUGCACUCUGGGACAAGCCCUGGAAACGGGGUCUAAUACCGGAUAUGACUGUCCAUCGCAUGGUGGAUGGUGUAAAGCUCCGGCGGUGCAGGAUGAGCCCGCGGCCUAUCAGCUUGUUGGUGAGGUAGUGGCUCACCAAGGCGACGACGGGUAGCCGGCCUGAGAGGGCGACCGGCCACACUGGGACUGAGACACGGCCCAGACUCCUACGGGAGGCAGCAGUGGGGAAUAUUGCACAAUGGGCGAAAGCCUGAUGCAGCGACGCCGCGUGAGGGAUGACGGCCUUCGGGUUGUAAACCUCUUUCAGCAGGGAAGAAGCGAAAGUGACGGUACCUGCAGA
This 471-nucleotide ribosomal RNA is filed under the name Streptomyces sp. SID8370. RNAcentral's name for it is "bacterial SSU rRNA". It matches the Rfam family "Bacterial small subunit ribosomal RNA", at positions 1 to 485 of the family's 1533-position model. Lineage: Bacteria; Bacillati; Actinomycetota; Actinomycetes; Kitasatosporales; Streptomycetaceae. The record is from RNAcentral.